GAUGAAGAACGUAGCGAAAUGCGAUACUUGGUGUGAAUUGCAGAAUCCCGUGAACCAUCGAGUCUUUGAACGCAAGUUGCGCCCGAAGCCAUUAGGCCGAGGGCACGCCUGCCUGGGCGUCACACGUCGUUGCUCCCCCAUCUACUCCUUCGGGAUUGCGGGGGGCGGAUGAUGGCCUCCCGUGCGCCUCGUCGCGCGGUUGGCAUAAAUGCCAAGUCCUCGGCGACGCACGCCACGACAAUCGGUGGUUGCGAAACCUCGGUUGCCCGUCGUGUGCGGUCGUCGCGCAUCGAGGGCUCGAAAAAAUUGCCGGGUUCCGGCUCGGCUUUCAACGCGACCCCAGGUCAGGCGGGGUUACCCGCUGAAUUUAAGCAUAUCAAUAAGCGGAGGA
Molecule: unclassified non-coding RNA, 391 nt
Filed under: soil metagenome
Description: partial contains 5.8S ribosomal RNA, internal transcribed spacer 2, and large subunit ribosomal RNA
Rfam family: 5.8S ribosomal RNA (bases 1-122)
Source: RNAcentral